This is a non-coding RNA of Camelina sativa (false flax), 317 nucleotides long. The record is from RefSeq and is a predicted model, not a curated record. Lineage: Eukaryota; Viridiplantae; Streptophyta; Magnoliopsida; Brassicales; Brassicaceae.
UUUGUCGAGACAAAUUUUGUUCGAAUUCUUUCUUCUCUCGACGGCGACAACGGCCACCCCAGUUGAGCCGAUUCCAAAUCCAUGGCCACACCAGUUCCACGCGCUAAUGUUUAUGAAUUACUCCGGCGAUCAGCUUGAGCAAAUCAACUCUAUGGCUCCCAUCAAAAACACCAAAUUCGGAGAUGUUGAUAUGGAUUUUGUCUUAGGGAUUGGAGGUUAUGAUCUUGAGAGAAUUGAUUCAGAAGUCAAUGUAGAUGGCUUGAGUUGUGCAGAGGAUCAUCAUCAUCAUCACCAUCAAUGCAGUCAUGGUAUAUAGA